CAGCGCCGUUCCCAUGGCGACCGGGGGCGCGCGGGAGCCGCGCACGGGGAGGACGGAGCCGGCGGGAGAGCGGAGGGUUCCGGACGGCCUGCGGAGGCUGCGGGAGCUGCUGGAGCUCCGGCAGCGGCAGCUGCGGUCCCGCAUCGCCGCCUGCGAGGAGCUGCGGGCGGAGAUGGCCGCGCUGCGGGCGGCGCUGAGCCCCGGCCCGGCGGGCGGCGCGGGGCCCUGAGGAGCCCCGAAGGGACCGAGGAUCGGCCCCGCCGAAGGGACCGAGGGGUUUGGGGCUCCGGGAACGCCCGGGCGGUGCUGGGGGCGCGCAGGGAGCGGUGACGGCCGCACCCCCCCGGGCUGCCCCGCCGUGGCCUUGGAGCUCGCUCGCUGUCGCCGCGCUCGUGCCUUAUCGCAAUAAAUUUACACUUCAGAAUAAA
Molecule: long non-coding RNA, 428 nt
Organism: Haemorhous mexicanus (house finch)
Lineage: Eukaryota; Metazoa; Chordata; Aves; Passeriformes; Fringillidae
Exons: 2
Source: RefSeq, a predicted model, not a curated record